This 746-nucleotide small RNA is filed under the name Pongo abelii (Sumatran orangutan). Its description in RNAcentral is "processed transcript". Lineage: Eukaryota; Metazoa; Chordata; Mammalia; Primates; Hominidae. The record is from RNAcentral.
ACAGAGACACAGCCAUCCGCCACCACCGCUGCCGCAGCCUGGCUGGGGAGGGGGCCAGCCCCCCAGGCCCCCUACCCCACUGAGGUGGCCAGAAUGGAUUUGUGGCCAGGGGCAUGGAUGCUGCUGCUGCUGCUCUUCCUGCUGCUGCUCUUCCUGCUGCCCACCCUGUGGUUCUGCAGCCCCAGUGCCAAGUACUUCUUCAAGAUGGCCUUCUACAAUGGCUGGAUCCUCUUCCUGGCUGUGCUUGCCAUCCCUGUGUGUGCCGUGCGAGGACGCAACGUCGAGAACAUGAAGUGAGGGGCAAGGGGUCUUGGGCAAUGAGGGAACAUAGGGGUACAAAGAUCUUGCGUCUAAUGCUGCUCCACAUCAAAUACCUGUACGGGAUCCGAGUGGAGGUGCGAGGGGCUCACCACUUCCCUCCCUCGCAGCCCUAUGUUGUUGUCUCCAACCACCAGAGCUCUCUCGAUCUGCUUGGGAUGAUGGAAGUACUGCCAGGCCGCUGUGUGCCCAUUGCCAAGCGCGAGCUACUGUGGGCUGGCUCUGCCGGGCUGGCCUGCUGGCUGGCAGGAGUCAUCUUCAUCGACCGGAAGCGCACGGGGGAUGCCAUCAGUGUCAUGUCUGAGGUCGCCCAGACCCUGCUCACCCAGGACGUGAGGGUCUGGGUGUUUCCUGAGGGAACGAGAAACCACAAUGGCUCCAUGCUGCCCUUCAAACGUGGCGCCUUCCAUCUUGCAGUGCAGGCCCAG